Non-coding RNA from Gasterosteus aculeatus aculeatus (three-spined stickleback), 875 nucleotides. NCBI's taxonomy places the organism in Eukaryota, Metazoa, Chordata, Actinopteri, Perciformes, Gasterosteidae. The record is from RefSeq and is a predicted model, not a curated record.
AACAUGCAGCAUUUCUUGAUGUAUAUUUGUAAAGGGAAAUUUUGUACCUAUUUUAGAGCAUUAUUCUAUUUUUUAGAACCUUUGUUCGAUAUGGAGCAUUCAAGGCUCAUUUCUACCGGACACAUAUCACUUAUCAGCUUCUGUUAACGUUACUGUCGGACAGCUGUCAAAUGCGGUGUGGCGUUAUGUAAACGUCAGUGUCAAAAUACAAAACCGCUAGAAGCUCAUUUGAAGGAACAUCUCUUGGAAUAACGUGCUGUGAGUUGUCCAGUGAGUGGAUGUAAAAACGUUUUCAUGGUCAAAUCCUCAUUCACCGCUCACAUGUCACGCAAAAUGUAUAAUUGAUGGGAUUAAUUAGAUGUGCAGUUAUCCUGGUUGUUAAAAAAUAAACCACAUGAAACGUGAAGAUAAGUCUUGAUUGAGUCUUGAGAGUGAAUGUCAUGCUGUCAGUCCAGCAGCUCCCCCUGUGUUUGUUUGCUUUGCCUGUGCGUCCCCUGUCUCUGCAAGGAGCUGUGGUCUCCCCCUGUUCAUCCCCCGAAGGGUGUGGCUGGAACAGCUCACGGCAAUCAGCCAUCAGGGGACUCUCCUACCGGGUCUUGCCAUUCAGCGCCAGAUCGUUCUGUCGUCAGAGUGAGAGGAUCAUCCCAAUCUGCAGUGAACACCUGAGGAUAAGUCCUCAAGCAGAAGGCCCGAAUCACUCCGCUUCCUGGAUCUUGAUUUACAAUAAGCUUUAUUUAAUAUUUCCUGAUGUUGACUGAAAUAUAUGCCAACCAAUUGUAAUACAUUAUACCUUAUUUUUUUGCAAUGGAAUUCUGGCAAAUACAGUUGCAGGCAAUUUGCUUUGAACUUUGUAAUAAAAUACGGUAACUCAUACA